This 497-nucleotide ribosomal RNA is filed under the name uncultured bacterium. RNAcentral's name for it is "partial 16S ribosomal RNA". It matches the Rfam family "Bacterial small subunit ribosomal RNA", at positions 28 to 507 of the family's 1533-position model. The record is from RNAcentral.
GACGAACGCUGGCGGCGUGCCUAAUACAUGCAAGUUGAGCGCUGAAGGUUGGUACUUGUACCAACUGGAUGAGCAGCGCACGGGUGAGUAACGCGUGGGGAAUCUGCCUUUGAGCGGGGGACAACAUUUGGAAACGAAUGCUAAUACCGCAUAAAAACUUUAAACACAAGUUUUAAGUUUGAAAGAUGCAAUUGCAUCACUCAAAGAUGAUCCCGCGUUGUAUUAGCUAGUUGGUGAGGUAAAGGCUCACCAAGGCGAUGAUACAUAGCCGGCCUGAGAGGGUGAUCGGCCACAUUGGGACGGAGACACGGCACAAACUGCUACGGGAGGCAGCAGUAGGGAAUCUUCGGCAAUAGACGAAAGUCUGACCGAGAAACGCCGCGUGAGUGAAGAAGGUUGUCGGAUCGUAAAACUCUGUUGGUAGAGAAGAACGUUGGUGAGAGUGGAAAGCUCAUCAAGUGACGGUAACUACUCAGAAAGGGACGGCUAACUACGUG